UGGGGAAUAUUGCACAAUGGGCGCAAGCCUGAUGCAGCCAUGCCGCGUGUGUGAAGAAGGCCUUGGGUUGUAAAGCACUUUCAGCGGGGAGGAAGGCAAUAAGGUUAAUAACCUUGUUGAUUGACGUUACCCGCAGAAGAAGCACCGGCUAACUCCGCGCCAC
Molecule: ribosomal RNA, 163 nt
Filed under: uncultured bacterium
Lineage: Bacteria
Description: partial 16S rRNA
Rfam family: Bacterial small subunit ribosomal RNA
Source: RNAcentral